RNAcentral lists this long non-coding RNA (1000 nucleotides) under Fragaria vesca (wild strawberry). RNAcentral describes it as "long non-coding RNA (FVES_LNC001341)". Lineage: Eukaryota; Viridiplantae; Streptophyta; Magnoliopsida; Rosales; Rosaceae. The record is from RNAcentral.
UGGUACUGGUAACUGCAAAAGAUUACAAUUUUUAAUGGAAAUAUGAGUAGUGAUUGAAAUAUCAAAGAAAUUUGAAAGAUUUUUCCUUGGAUUUACGGAAAUUUGAAAUAUCAAAGAAAUUCGAACAACAAUCGUAUGCAUAAAAAUAAAUUUGAAAGAGAUUUUGAAUAUGCAUGGUAAUGACCUUUUGAUCACUGGGGUAUAUAUCAUUUUUCUUAAAAUAUAAAAUCUAAUAAGGUAAAAUUACAAAAAUUGCAAUAAUUUUGAAAAUUCAAAACUUCACUGCAAAUAGUAGUGGCAAAGAUCUAAAAUUUGUUAGAUGAUGAUAGUUUAAACCAAGCACAAUGCCCAAGUUUUGUCCCCACACUUUGGCAAUUGUGAGUUAUGAGCUAUUACAGUGAGCCUGUGUGGUCUUCUGGUUCAAGCAUUGAGUCACAGAACAAGACACAUUUUCGUGGUUUCCUUUGGAACUUUCCUCUUCCCGUUUUUGAAUCCAGGGAAGUAUAAGAUUGGGAGAGUACUAUCGAAAUACUCAUGAUCCAAUCAAUGAAACUUGGCUAAAGAUUUAGAGAUGUGCCUAGUUUUCACUAGAAAGGAAAAUGAGUUGUUAGCAAACGAAGAGGACAGUUCCUUGUAGGGUUGGCAAUUUCAUUUGUGGGGGAUCUUGGCAACCGAAGGCACCAGAGAAACCCGAGCAUUGCUGCAGGGUUUGUUGAUUUGUGGUUCAAUGGGGGUUCACCAAACUGUGAGAUUGAAGGUGAUACAUGCAUUGGGGGGUCAUUAAAGCUUUGAAUGAUACCAAAGGGGACCAAAGUGCAGAGGCCGUUUUGAUGAAUGAGAGAAGAGGUUAAUUUGUCUCGAGGAAUGUAAUAAAGUUGUGCAUUAUGCUCAAAGUCGAGUGGAGUAGUUCAUCAAAUGACAAUGCUUGCAUCCAUCCUCGGUUUUUUUUUUCCCCGUAAGGAAAGGGUCAAGGUGCGAUAAUAUUAAACACAACGUCACU